Molecule: ribosomal RNA, 500 nt
Filed under: uncultured bacterium
Lineage: Bacteria
Description: partial 16S ribosomal RNA
Rfam family: Bacterial small subunit ribosomal RNA
Source: RNAcentral
AUUGAACGCUGGCGGAAUGCUUUACACAUGCAAGUCGAACGGCAGCACGGACUCCGGUCUGGUGGCGAGUGGCGAACGGGUGAGUAAUGUAUCGGAACGUGCCCAGUCGUGGGGGAUAACGUAGUGAAAAUUACGCUAAUACCGCAUACGAUCUAUGGAUGAAAGCGGGGGAUCGCAAGACCUCGCGCGAUUGGAGCGGCCGAUAUCAGAUUAGGUAGUUGGUGGGGUAAAGGCCCACCAAGCCAACGAUCUGUAGCUGGUCUGAGAGGACGACCAGCCACACUGGAACGGAGACACGGUCCAGACUCCUACGGGAGUCAGCAGUGGGGAAUUUUGGACAAUGGGCGAAAGCCUGAUCCAGCCAUUCCGCGUGCAGGAUGAAGGCCCUCGGGUUGUAAACUGCUUUUGUACAGAACGAAAAGGUUUCUACUAAUACUAGGAGCUCAUGACGGUACUGUAAGAAUAAGCACCGGCUAACUACGUGCCAGCAGCCGCCGUAA